Molecule: long non-coding RNA, 1939 nt
Filed under: Gossypium barbadense (sea-island cotton)
Lineage: Eukaryota; Viridiplantae; Streptophyta; Magnoliopsida; Malvales; Malvaceae
Description: long non-coding RNA (GBAR_LNC015138)
Source: RNAcentral
AUAUAAAUAACAUUAUUACUAUUUAUGUUUAGUGAUUUUUUUUGAAUAAUUUUGAUUUUUUAUUUAAGAGUAAAGGGUGAGAAGUAAAAGUUUAGGAAAAAAAUAAAAAAUUUUGGAGAAUAAAAAUUUGAGGGAAAGUAAAUAGAGAAAGUAAAAUUUUAGAGGGAAAAUAUUUUAAAAAAAAAUUGAAGGGAGGAGAGUUUGAGGUAGAUGAGAAAUAAGAUGGGAAGAGAAUAAAAGUUUUAGGAGAAAAGUGAGAGUGAGUAAAAAUUUUGGGAGAAAAUAAAAAGUUUGGAGGACUUUUGGGAGUAAAAUUUUGAGAAAAAGUAAAUGAAAGAAUAAAAUUUUGGCGGGAAAUAGAUUUUGAAUAGAUUGAGGGGUUGAGAGGGGAGGGGAGUAAAAGUCUUAGGGAGAAAGUGAGAAGAAGUAAAAAUUUUGAGGGAAAAAUAAAAAAGUUUGGGAGUUUAAGAUAAAAAUAUAAAAUAUUAUAGUUUAAUAUUCGAAUUUUUUGAGUUAUUCGAAUUCGAAAACUCAAAUCGAUUUGAACUCGAAAUUAAAAAAAAAAUUGAGUUGAUUCGAAUAACUCGAUUAACUCGAAUAAUUCGAUUCGUUUAACUCAAAAUUCAAAUUUUUUUUCGAUUUUUUCAAAUCGAAUCGAGUUUUGCUCACCCCUACUACUACUUUCAAUUAAUUAGAGACCACAUCUAAAGGAUUCUAUAGGAAGCUACGGAACCUAAAUCUUCCUUCUAAAAUCAAAAUUACAAUAUGGCGAAUAUCGAAAAAUUUUAUCCCUACUUUAUCUAAUAUGUAUUACAAGCGACUAGAGGCGAAUGCGAUAUGCCCAAUAUGCGGGGGAGGGGUUGAAAUGACGGACCAUGUUUUUCGAAGUUGCCCUGCUUCAAAGGAUGUUUGGAAAUUAGUAGGGUACUCGUGGAUAAUGUCAAAUACAACUCAGGAAACGUUUGAAUGGCUUACCUGGGUAUUCAGUGUAAGUUCUGUUCUUUAACGGAGGGUUUUUUGUUGUGCCCUUUGGGCCUUGUGGAUUGAAAGGAAUAAGCGUGUGCAUGAGAACUCCGCAAAAUCGGGCAGAGAGGUAGCCAAUUUCAUUCAAAGUUACAUUAAAGAACUAGAAGGUAUCGAAGAACGAGGGCUUACCAGGGGAGUUAUUAGCGCGAAACUGGAACCUCCUUCGGGGGUUUGUAUUAAAAUAAACUUCGAUGAGGAUUUUGAUUGGGCACAUUCUAGGUCGAGGUCGGGGAUAGUGGCCAAAAACGCCCUGGGGAAGGUGGUUGCCUCUAGAUCGGUCAUACAUGCAAAUGUUGGGGCGGCUUUUGCAGCGGAAGCUCUUGCCCGUUUAUGGGCAGUACAAACGGGGUUAGAUUUGGGUUUCACAGAUAUGAUUAUAGAAGGAGACUCUUUAUCAGUUAUAAAGAAAUCCAACUCAGAUUCACAAGACAAAUCAGAAAUAAGUACUUAUACCCGGAAUAUAAAACGAAAUAUCAACAGUUUUCGGUCUCUACGAAUCAAACAUGCAAGACGCUCGGCUAAUCAACUUGCUCAUGUAAUAGCUACUGAAAGUUUGAGAAAUGGUGAAGAGUUUUACCUGGAAGAGAAGGUCCCGAGAUUCGUUGUAAGGAUAAUGGAAGAAGAAUGGAUUAGAGCCCGAUUGAGGAGGAAGAUGGUAAAAGCUCUUCGAUCCCUGGGAUAAAGAAAGCUUAGAAAUGUGUUUUUGAGAGAAAUGAUGGUCUGUAACAGGGAUGGAAAAUGGAAAGUUUUCUGUGGGAAAUGAAACCGUUGGUUUUGAAUUGAAAGAUGAGGGGAUGGGACGGGUACACACUUCUCGAGAGGAUAGGCUGGCUUAGUUUUCUUUUGCUGUUUUAGAUUUUUGGGUUUUGUUUUUUCUUUUGGGCCCGGUUUUGGACUUCUGGUUUGUUUUGAC